Molecule: ribosomal RNA, 360 nt
Filed under: uncultured bacterium
Lineage: Bacteria
Description: partial 16S ribosomal RNA
Rfam family: Bacterial small subunit ribosomal RNA
Source: RNAcentral
CCUACGGGAGGCAGCAGUGAGGAAUAUUGGUCAAUGGGAGAGAUCCUGAACCAGCCAAGCCGCGUGAAGGAAGACGGUACUAUGGAUUGUAAACUUCUUUUGUCGGGGAACAAAAUCAGGUUCGUGGCCCGGACCGCGUGUACUCGAAGAAAAAGCAUCGGCUAACUCCGUGCCAGCAGCCGCGGUAAUACGGAGGAUGCGAGCGUUAUCCGGAUUUAUUGGGUUUAAAGGGUGCGUAGACGGUCCGUUAAGUCAGCGGUAAAAGCCCGGGGCUCAACCCCGUCGAGCCGUUGAAACUGGAAGACUUGAGAUGGCGAGAGGUAUGCGGAAUGCGCGGUGUAGCGGUGAAAUGCGUAGAUA